ACCUAGCUGGCUCAUUUGGUGGAGCGCGUGACUCUUGAUCUUGAGGUUAUGGGUUCCAGCCCCCUGCUGGGUG
RNAcentral lists this transfer RNA (73 nucleotides) under Ailuropoda melanoleuca (giant panda). It matches the Rfam family "tRNA". From Rfam's summary of the family: Transfer RNA (tRNA) molecules are approximately 80 nucleotides in length. Their secondary structure includes four short double-helical elements and three loops (D, anti-codon, and T loops). Lineage: Eukaryota; Metazoa; Chordata; Mammalia; Carnivora; Ursidae. The record is from Rfam by way of RNAcentral.